This 274-nucleotide ribosomal RNA is filed under the name uncultured bacterium. RNAcentral's name for it is "partial 16S ribosomal RNA". It matches the Rfam family "Bacterial small subunit ribosomal RNA", at positions 523 to 796 of the family's 1533-position model. The record is from RNAcentral.
AUACGGAGGGUGCAAGCGUUGUUCGGAAUUACUGGGCGUAAAGCGCGCGUAGGUGGUCUGUUAUGUCAGAUGUGAAAGUCCACGGCUCAACCGUGGAAGUGCAUUUGAAACUGGCAGACUUGAGUACUGGAGGGGGUGGUGGAAUUCCCGGUGUAGAGGUGAAAUUCGUAGAUAUCGGGAGGAAUACCGGUGGCGAAGGCGACUACCUGGCCAGAUACUGACACUGAGGUGCGAAAGCGUGGGGAGCGAACAGGAUUAGAAACCCCGGUAGUCC